This 961-nucleotide ribosomal RNA is filed under the name Simkaniaceae bacterium. RNAcentral's name for it is "partial 23S ribosomal RNA". It matches the Rfam family "Bacterial large subunit ribosomal RNA", at positions 1953 to 2925 of the family's 2925-position model. Lineage: Bacteria; Pseudomonadati; Chlamydiota; Chlamydiia; Parachlamydiales; Simkaniaceae. The record is from RNAcentral.
AAGGUAGCGAAAUUCCUUGUCGGGUAAGUUCCGACCUGCACGAAUGGCGUAACGAUCCGGGCACUGUCUCAACGAGAGACUCGGUGAAAUUGUAGUAGCGGUGAAGAUGCCGUUUACCCACAGCUAGACGGAAAGACCCCGUGAACCUUUACUGUACUCUGAUAUUGGCUUUCGAUUUGACAUGUGUAGGAUAGCCGGGAGACGGAGAAGAGUGCUCGUCAGGGCACUCGGAGUCACUGUUGAAAUACCGGUCUUGUCAUAUUGGAAAUCUAACGAAGUUCCGUGAAACCGGAAUUCGGACAUUGUCAGACGGGCAGUUUGACUGGGGCGGUUUCCUCCCAAAAGGUAACGGAGGAGUUCAAAGCUUGUCUCAUCGUGGUUGGCAAUCACGAGAAGAGCGUAAAGGUAUAAGGCAAGUUGACUGCGAGACCGGCAAGUCGAGCAGGUACGAAAGUAGGACUUAGUGAUCCGGCGGUAGAAAGUGGAAUUGCCGUCGCUUAACGGAUAAAAGGUACUCCGGGGAUAACAGGCUUAUCGCCACCAAGAGUUCAUAUCGACGUGGCGGUUUGGCACCUCGAUGUCGGCUCAUCGCAUCCCGGGGCUGUAGAAGGUCCCAAGGGUUUGGCUGUUCGCCAAUUAAAGCGGUACGCGAGCUGGGUUCAGAACGUCGUGAGACAGUUUGGUCCCUAUCUGCUGUGGGCGCAGGAUACUUGAGGAGAGCUGCUUCUAGUACGAGAGGACCGAAGUGGACGAACCAAUGGUGUUCCGGUUGUCCUGCCAAGGGCAUAGCCGGGUAGCUAUGUUCGGAAAGGAUAAGCGUUGAAAGCAUCUAAACGCCAAGCCCCCUCCGAGAUAAGGUAUCCCAUGAGACACCCCGAAGAGAACGGGGUUGAUAGGCCGGGUGUGUAAGCACAGCAAUGUGUUGAGCUAACCGGUACUAAUCGUCGAUCGGCUUAAAUUU